Molecule: microRNA precursor, 125 nt
Filed under: Mesocricetus auratus (golden hamster)
Lineage: Eukaryota; Metazoa; Chordata; Mammalia; Rodentia; Cricetidae
Description: miRNA (ENSMAUG00000001672.1)
Source: RNAcentral
GGUUUCUUUGUGUAGCACUGGCUGUCCUGAAACUCGCUCUGUAGACCAAGCUGGCCUUGAACUCAUAGAUCCACCUGCCUCUGCCUCCCAGGUGUUGGGAUUAAAGGCAUGCACCACCAUUGCCC